GAUGAAGAACGUAGCAAAAUGCGAUACUUGGUGUGAAUUGCAGAAUCCCGUGAACCAUCGAGUUUUUGAACGCAAGUUGCGCCCGAAGCCUUUUGGCCGAGGGCACGUCUGCCUGGGCGUCACGCAUCGCGUCGCCCCCCACAAUUCUCCGUAAAGGGAACGUGUGUUUUGGGGGCGGAUAUUGGUCUCCCGUGCUCAUGGCGUGGUUGGCCGAAAUAGGAGUCCUUUCGAUGGACGCACGAACUAGUGGUGGUCGUAAAAACCCUCGUCUUUUGUUUCGUGCUGUUGCUCGCAAGGUAAACUCUUUAAAAACCCCAAUGUGUCGUCUCUUGACGACGCUUCGACCGCGACCCCAGGUCAGUCGGGACUACCCGCUGAGUUUAAGCAUAUCAAUAAGCGGAGGA
This 404-nucleotide unclassified non-coding RNA is filed under the name soil metagenome. RNAcentral describes it as "partial contains 5.8S ribosomal RNA, internal transcribed spacer 2, and large subunit ribosomal RNA". The stretch from base 1 to 122 matches the Rfam family "5.8S ribosomal RNA", at positions 35 to 154 of the family's 154-position model. The record is from RNAcentral.